This 23-nucleotide microRNA is filed under the name Macaca mulatta (Rhesus monkey). RNAcentral's name for it is "Mml-Mir-4677_3p (mature (guide))". Lineage: Eukaryota; Metazoa; Chordata; Mammalia; Primates; Cercopithecidae. The record is from RNAcentral.
UCUGUGAGACCAAAGAACUACUU